GACGAACGCUGGCGGCGUGCCUAACACAUGCAAGUCGAACGAGGUCCAUCCUUCGGGAGAAGACCUAGUGGCGAACGGGUGAGUAACACGUGAAGAACCUGCCCCGAAGACCGGGAUAACCCUCCGAAAGGAGAGCUAAUACCGGAUACCCCCACCGAACCGCAUGGUUUGGUGAGGAAAUGGAUUCCGCUUCGGGAGGGCUUCGCGGCCUAUCAGCUAGUUGGUGGGGUAACGGCCCACCAAGGCAUCGACGGGUAGCUGGUCUGAGAGGACGAUCAGCCACACUGGGACUGAGACACGGCCCAGACUCCUACGGGAGGCAGCAGUGGGGAAUCUUGCGCAAUGGCGAAGCCUGACGCAGCAACGCCGCGUGGGGGAUGAAGGCUCUCGGGUUGUAAACCCCUUUCAGCAGGGACGAAUCAAGACGGUACCUGCAGAAGAAGCCCGGCUAACUACGUGCCAGCAGCCGCGGUAA
This 475-nucleotide ribosomal RNA is filed under the name uncultured bacterium. Its description in RNAcentral is "bacterial SSU rRNA". It matches the Rfam family "Bacterial small subunit ribosomal RNA", at positions 28 to 523 of the family's 1533-position model. The record is from RNAcentral.